UACGUAGGGUGCGAGCGUUAAUCGGAAUUACUGGGCGUAAAGCGUGCGCAGGCGGUUCGUUAAGUUCGUUGUGAAAGCCCCGGGCUCAACCUGGGAACUGCAAUGGAAACUGGCGGGCUUGAAUGCGGGAGAGGUGAGUGGAACUCCGAGUGUAGAGGUGAAAUUCGUAGAUAUUCGGAAGAACACCAGUGGCGAAGGCGGCUCACUGGCCCGGUACUGACGCUGAGGUGCGAAAGCGUGGGGAGCAAACAGG
Molecule: ribosomal RNA, 253 nt
Filed under: uncultured bacterium
Lineage: Bacteria
Description: partial 16S ribosomal RNA
Rfam family: Bacterial small subunit ribosomal RNA
Source: RNAcentral